Molecule: non-coding RNA, 196 nt
Organism: Oryza nivara
Lineage: Eukaryota; Viridiplantae; Streptophyta; Magnoliopsida; Poales; Poaceae
Source: Rfam
CAAAAAAUAAACCCUAGGUUUCCGUGUCCAACGUUUGACUGUUUGUCUUAUAUAAUUUUUUUUAUAAUUAAUAUUUUCAUUGUUGUUAGAUGAUAAAACAUGAUUAAUACUUUAUGCGUGUCUUAUCUUUUUAAUUUUUUUUUAAAUAAGACAGAGGGUCAAACGUCGGACACGGAAACCCAGAGUUUGUCCUUUU